GCACAAGCGGUGGAGCAUGUGGUUUAAUUCGAUGCAACGCGAAGAACCUUACCUGGCCUUGACAUACUAGAAACUUUCCAGAGAUGGAUUGGUGCCUUCGGGAAUCUAGAUACAGGUGCUGCAUGGCUGUCGUCAGCUCGUGUCGUGAGAUGUUGGGUUAAGUCCCGCAACGAGCGCAACCCUUUUCCUUACUUGCCAGCAUUUCGGAUGGGAACUUUAAGGAUACUGCCAGUGACAAACUGGAGGAAGGCGGGGACGACGUCAAGUCAUCAUGGCCCUUACGGCCAGGGCUACACACGUGCUACAAUGGUCGGUACAAAGGGUUGCUACCUAGCGAUAGGAUGCUAAUCUCAAAAAGCCGAUCGUAGUCCGGAUUGGAGUCUGCAACUCGACUCCAUGAAGUCGGAGUCGCUAGUAAUCGCGGAUCAGAAUGCCGCGGUGAAUACGUUCCCGGGC
This 456-nucleotide ribosomal RNA is filed under the name uncultured bacterium. RNAcentral describes it as "bacterial SSU rRNA". It matches the Rfam family "Bacterial small subunit ribosomal RNA", at positions 923 to 1379 of the family's 1533-position model. The record is from RNAcentral.